Molecule: ribosomal RNA, 440 nt
Filed under: uncultured bacterium
Lineage: Bacteria
Description: partial 16S ribosomal RNA
Rfam family: Bacterial small subunit ribosomal RNA
Source: RNAcentral
CCUACGGGAGGCAGCAGUGAGGAAUAUUGCUCAAUGGUCGAAACACUGAUCCAGCGACGCCGCGUGAGUGAAGAAGUAAUUCGUUAUGUAAAGCUCUAUCAGCAGGGAAGAAAAUGACGGUACCUGAGUACGAAGCCCCGGCUAACUACGUGCCAGCAGCCGCGGUAAUACGUAGGCAGCAAGCGUUAUCCGGAUUUACUGGGUGUAAAGGGAGCGUAGAGGGCAGUGCAAGUGUGGAGUGAAAGGCGGGGGCUCAACCCCCGGACUGCUCUGGAAACUGUCCGGCUGGAGUGCAGGAGAGGUAAGUGGAAUGCGCGGUGUAGCGGUGAAAUGCGUAGAUAUUAGGAGGAACACCAGUGGCGAAGGCGGCUUACUGGAUUGUAACUGACGUUGAGGCUCGAAAGCGUGGGGAGCAAACAGGAUUAGAUACCCGUGUAGUC